GGAGAGGUGGCCGAGUGGCCGAAGGCGCGCCCCUGCUAAGGGCGUAUAGGGAGACCUAUCGAGGGUUCGAAUCCCUCCCUCUCCGCCA
This 88-nucleotide transfer RNA is filed under the name Nitrospinota bacterium. RNAcentral's name for it is "tRNA-Ser". It matches the Rfam family "tRNA". Rfam says of the family: Transfer RNA (tRNA) molecules are approximately 80 nucleotides in length. Lineage: Bacteria; Pseudomonadati; Nitrospinota. The record is from RNAcentral.